AAAACAUUGAUUAAUUGUUACUGUAAGAGAAUAAACACUACAGGCCUUCCAUUUUUAUAACACUGCUUUUAUUGUGUUGGUUGGUUAUGUUCUGGUGACGUGUAGAACUUGGGAGUGCAGGCUGCUGCCUGAGAGGUGGUUGGAGACGGAGUGUCUCCAUGCUGCUUUGUUUUGGUCACUUAUGUGCGUGAGGCGAGUGGUGUUACGACUCUUCCUGGGGAGUAUGGCUCGUGUGCAAAAAGGAAGGGACAAUAACGGGAUUUAAAAGUUAAAAUGAUGAUCGGGUUUAUUUACAACUACAAAAAAAACAUAAAUCUUUCCAUCCACAGGUUGGGAAUAAUAAAAUUAAUUCUGCCUGUGGGGAAUUAAAACAAAAGUACAAAUAACUAGGGAUGUCCCACUGGGCAAAGAUUACAGGGUUCUGGACCAAAAUAAGGAUCUCCAAAGGUCCAAACUCUAAACUGGGCGGUUAAACCAAACUCAAGGUGAUAUUUUAAACUAAACCGAAAACCCACAACACUCUAAAUGUAAUAAAAGGGAGAUCUGCACCACAAAAAAGAUGAACUCUAAACCAAAACGUAACGGCUUAUCCAAACGCAAGAAGCUGUUAGCAAAAACGCUAACAGUAGCUUUACCAACGUUAAGUUCAAGUUACCAAGUUUAAAUAAACCAAAAACACCCAGCAGCAAACGGACCAGCGCGGAGGAGAGACUGCUACCACCAGCACAGCUCUCCUAAUGUCUGAAAGAAGCUCCUUUAUGAAGGGAGAAACGCUCCCGGUGAUUUUCUACAUCUGUGGUAGAGACGAAGCAGCAAAUCUGACCCCGGAAGUUGUUCGUUGCCGGGAGACAUUUCACUACAGCCCUAUUAGAUAGACAUUGUUUUUGGACGGUAAAAAGUGCAGGGGACAAAAGGGGGAGGGGGCAUGUCCCCCUGUUCCCCCCUAAAAAACUACAUGCAUAAGCAUCAUGUAACAUUCACAAAGCGUAGUACGCAGCACGUGGCCCCCGUUGUAGUGGAUGGGUGUGUUUCCUCCUGCAGCCACGCGUCUGAACACAAGCGUAGGGACACUAAACUUAUGCUUGGAGUCAGAUUUAUACGCACUACAUUUCUAAAGCACGUCAAGCUCAUCAGUCCUGAACGGGCCAGACAGAAAAUAAAACACAAAAGCAGUUUAAAACAUCUACAAACUUUCAAAAUAAAAGUCACAUGCAGAUUUUUAGUUGUUUAACUAGUUAAAAAAGUGUUUCAUGACCUGUGAACCCUCCAUAGCCGAGGUAAACAGAAAACAAACCACAGACUUGCUGUCCUCCUUCCCCUUUCUUCUUAUUUUGCAUGACCUGUUUAACCCUCUGGUGGCAGGCGUUGCAGAUUUGCAGCGGUUAAAACCUACCUACCUGUCUUCAUGCACCAUCAUUCACCUCAUCAGCCUUCAUGCAGCACACCUGGUCCCCUCAUCAAGCUCAUGCCACACACCUGCCUCACCAGCUCUAUAUUCCUCAGUCAACCACCAGCACUCUGCCAGAUUGUUGAACACUUUUGCCAGUAAAUCUUCCAGCCUUCCUUCCUGCAAGAUUCUCUUGACCUUGUUUCCACGCCUGACCAUCACCAAGAACUCUGCCUGCCACCACAACCCUAGCUUGUCUACGACCACGUCUCCAGCCUGCUCCCUGUACCUGCUUAGUUUCGAUCUGGUUUCGACCCACGCCUGCCGUCGACUCUGCCCUUACCUGAGUUUUCUCCGGUAACGCCUCCUAUUAGCCUCUGGCUAAUAAAGACUGCUUAAAACGUCGUACUGUGUUUGGUGUCAUCAUGGGUCCUCCAAGUUCUGUUCAUGACAGGUGCACAAUUUUCAGGAUAUAGUAGUGAGCCACAGAGGAGGAGAGAUUCAGACGAUAGGAUUUGGAGUGUUAUUUUCUGCAUUUGGACAUCUUGCCUAGGAUUGGAUAACAACAAUGCAACUCCACCACUGACUUGCAACGCUGAUGUUUUAUUUCCACCAACAACACAAGCCUAAAGGAGUUCUGCUGUGUGGUGGAGUUGCUAAUGCUAAUGGUUAGCUUCUACUAGCUGAGACAUUCUCUGCUGUUUCCUGGACGCUAAACCAACAACAGCCUUCCCCAUUGUGAGUCAAGAUGGGUGAGUCCAUGAAUGUUAAGUGACAGUGUGACGUAGAUCUGUCAGGAUUUUUAAAUCCUAGAGUUUCACCGUCUUUUCACCACGUAGGAGACUAUUUUCAUGUUGAGCCUGUAGGAAAAGCCCAGUGGCCUAUUAUAACCAGAAAUAACCAUUAAAAUGCCUUUUCAGUGUUCUUUAAAUCGUUUAUCCCUAAGUGAGGUUUUAUCCCAAUGGACUGGUUGCAUGAAAAAAGGAACCAGUUUUGUAAAUGACAACUAGCUAGCAAUAAAAUAUAGACGGGAAUCAAAACUGGAAACAGACAUCUUAAACUAAUUAAAGUAACCAAAGAACAUAAUGAUUAAAGCUUUCAUACAGAAACCUAAUCAGAAAUAAACCCAAACUCUGUGACAGCUGGCUGUGGUGGAAGACCAGUUACAUUAAAGAGUAACGUCUAAAUUAACUUUUUUUUGCUGAUGAACUGUAUAAAUGAGUGUCUAAUAGUGUUUUAAAUGUGUGCAUUCUUUAUUUUAGCAUUUUGGUGCAUUUUCUUUAAAAAUUAAAAAUUCUGUCUAAAAACCACAGUAAUGCGCCACCUUCAGCUGAAAACAUAGAAUUUGAGUCAUUUUGAAUAAAUUUUAGCCAAUGGCUAAAGAGUAAAGUACUACGUAAACCAGUAGAGUACUACGUAGCAGCUCCGUGCCAAAGUUAUAAAAGCAACGAGCGUCUCGGCCACGCCCUGUGGCGAGUUGGGAGUUGGAUUUGCAAGCGAGUGUAGGAGGUCAGCGGUAGUUCAGCAUUAGCAUAUAGCAUUAGCAUAUCCUAGUCUUUAGCAUAUCUUUUAGUGUUAUAAAUACUUAUUUAGUGUUAGCUUGGCUGUUGUAUAUUAUAGUUUAGUUAGUGUUUGGCUGUUAGUGUAAUUGGGAAAGUAUUUCGGGUUUAGUGUUCCAUAUCGUCUUAGUAUUGGUGAGUAGGUGUAGUGUAGUAUGGUUGCGGUGACUCUGUGGGCAUUUUACCCGCGAUUCUGCACGUCUCCGUUUGAAGAGGGAGGCUGUGCCCACCGUGGCUCUUCCGCGAUUUAGAUGCAGCCCACCGACUCUGCUCCCCCACCACGGCGGGCUCCAGUCUGAGGUGAGUCAGCUAAAUAAACGUUUUAACAUCUUCUAAAGACAAUUCCCUACCUAAAUGCAAAGUCUGAGAGACGUGGUUCACUUCCUUUAGCUAGUCAGUCGGCAAUUCUGCAACAGUGUCUCUAACUAACGCUGCACUUGUUGACAGCAUUACAGCGUGAAAUCCAGCUUGUGACCCGGUUCUGUGAGGAAUUCUGUUCAGGAGGUCGCAUUUCAGGCUCUCCACAUCAUAUGUGACUGACUUUUACGUUAUAACAACGAUCACACACUAGGAAUGUUAUAAAGCGCCUAUAUAGGAGAUUCUUUUGUAUAUUAUCUGACUAUAAACUCCAACAACAAUGUGCUUCUAUUUUUUUUUCAGGCUAAAUCUACCCAAGACACUGGCUGUCAGACUGAUUUAGCUGCAUGAAUGUACUUGUCCAGGCUGAUGUGAAACCUUCCCUGUAGCAAAGCCAGCCAGAAUGGAGUUCACAGCCGCAGUGUGUCUGGUGACCCACAGGGACCAUGAUGAAAAUUCAUCUUCCAGAAGGUCCCAGAGCGUCCAGACCCCCUGAAAAGACCAAGGUGUGAGGUGUCUGCUGUUGAUUCCAGCUUCCACCUCAGUGACAGUGCAAGCUCAGUGAACUGUUCAAGCCUGGCUGAUCACCUGAUAACUCCUGUCAUCUGGUUAUGACAGCAUGAGGAUGUCCUCACACACCUGUAACCUAUCAGCUCAUCUGGCAGAAUAGAGAGAGAAGAGACAACACCACAUCUCCUGUUCCUGGAAAGCCUUCAGCCUUCCUUCGAUGACUGAGAACCUCCAUCAGCUCUGUCUCCUGUCUGCCUACAAUUAUUAUAAUAAAUAUUGUGUUUGACAA
Long non-coding RNA from Nothobranchius furzeri (turquoise killifish), 4102 nucleotides. RefSeq lists it as uncharacterized. The record is from RefSeq and is a predicted model, not a curated record. NCBI's taxonomy places the organism in Eukaryota, Metazoa, Chordata, Actinopteri, Cyprinodontiformes, Nothobranchiidae.